RNAcentral lists this ribosomal RNA (892 nucleotides) under uncultured bacterium. Its description in RNAcentral is "bacterial SSU rRNA". It matches the Rfam family "Bacterial small subunit ribosomal RNA", at positions 505 to 1397 of the family's 1533-position model. The record is from RNAcentral.
GUGCCAGCAGCCGCGGUAAUACGUAGGUGGCAGGCGUUGUCCGGAUUUAUUGGGCGUAAAGCGAGCGCAGGCGGUUUUUUAAGUCUGAUGUGAAAGCCUUCGGCUCAACCGAAGAAGUGCAUCGGAAACUGGGAAACUUGAGUGCAGAAGAGGACAGUGGAACUCCAUGUGUAGCGGUGAAAUGCGUAGAUAUAUGGAAGAACACCAGUGGCGAAGGCGGCUGUCUGGUCUGUAACUGACGCUGAGGCUCGAAAGUAUGGGUAGCAAACAGGAUUAGAUACCCUGGUAGUCCAUACCGUAAACGAUGAAUGCUAAGUGUUGGAGGGUUUCCGCCCUUCAGUGCUGCAGCUAACGCAUUAAGCAUUCCGCCUGGGGAGUACGGCCGCAAGGCUGAAACUCAAAGGAAUUGACGGGGGCCCGCACAAGCGGUGGAGCAUGUGGUUUAAUUCGAAGCUACGCGAAGAACCUUACCAGGUCUUGACAUACUAUGCAAAUCUAAGAGAUUAGACGUUCCCUUCGGGGACAUGGAUACAGGUGGUGCAUGGUUGUCGUCAGCUCGUGUCGUGAGAUGUUGGGUUAAGUCCCGCAACGAGCGCAACCCUUAUUAUCAGUUGCCAGCAUUAAGUUGGGCACUCUGGUGAGACUGCCGGUGACAAACCGGAGGAAGGUGGGGAUGACGUCAAAUCAUCAUGCCCCUUAUGACCUGGGCUACACACGUGCUACAAUGGAUGGUACAACGAGUUGCGAACUCGCGAGAGUAAGCUAAUCUCUUAAAGCCAUUCUCAGUUCGGAUUGUAGGCCGCAACUCGCCUACAUGAAGUCGGAAUCGCUAGUAAUCGCGGAUCAGCAUGCCGCGGUGAAUACGUUCCCGGGCCUUGUACACACCGCCCGU